This 208-nucleotide unclassified non-coding RNA is filed under the name Hevea brasiliensis (rubber tree). The record is from RNAcentral. Lineage: Eukaryota; Viridiplantae; Streptophyta; Magnoliopsida; Malpighiales; Euphorbiaceae.
GGUCAAGGUAAAGAUCCAGGAAAUUCAGCAAGUUGUGCAGUGAACAGUAGUGUACUAUAACCUUAUGAAAUGCUUGGAUGGAAUCUGGAUGAGUUCUGGCAUUACUAAUAGGCAGUACAGAUUCUGACCAGCUAUCAGCGGGCUCAUCCGUCAGUAAAGAUUUAUGAACAUCACGAAUAAAACCUGACUGAGCAAGAAGAGCCACAAU